AACGAACGCUGGCGGCAUGCCUAACACAUGCAAGUCGAACGAGACCUUCGGGUCUAGUGGCGCAACGGGUGCGUAACGCGUGGGAAUCUGCCCUUAGGUUCGGAAUAACUUCGGGAAACUGAAGCUAAUACCGGAUGAUGACGUAAGUCCAAAGAUUUAUCGCCUAAGGAUGAGCCCGCGUUGGAUUAGCUAGUUGGUGAGGUAAAGGCUCACCAAGGCGACGAUCCAUAGCUGGUCUGAGAGGAUGAUCAGCCACACUGGGACUGAGACACGGCCCAGACUCCUACGGGAGGCAGCAGUGGGGAAUAUUGGGACAAUGGGCGAAAGCCUGAUCCAGCAAUGCCGCGUGCAGGAUGAAGG
This 360-nucleotide ribosomal RNA is filed under the name uncultured bacterium. Its description in RNAcentral is "bacterial SSU rRNA". It matches the Rfam family "Bacterial small subunit ribosomal RNA", at positions 29 to 414 of the family's 1533-position model. The record is from RNAcentral.